GUUCACCUGAAUUUUAACCUGAUUUUGAAAAUCUCUCAAAAAAAAAAAAUAUAUAUUUCAAAAAAUUAUGAAGACUUCAAUGAUCAUCUUGGGAAUGUUGUUUGUGUCAUGCUGCUUCUAUAUCAAUUCCGCCGCGCCGGGAAUCGAAAUUAAAUACAAGCCACACAAGUAUAGCGAAGACGAUAGUGAUAAAGAAAUAAUGAAAGUAAUGAAAAUGAACGAUGAUUACGACAAUGAUUACGUCAAUAAUGACGAAAAGGAUUAUUUGACUAUUCCACCAAAGACAUUCAGGCAAUAAAAUGAUGGGCAUAUCGUUUUUAAAUUUUCAAUAUAUUAUUAUUAUUAUUAUCCAAAAUUUAUUUGCAAUUGGAUUAAAUUUAUUAUUAUAAUUAAUCAUUAUUUUUAUGUUUAUUUUUUCCCUCUCCUAAAUUAUCGAUUCAAAAUUAU
This is a long non-coding RNA of Gordionus sp. m RMFG-2023, 447 nucleotides long. RefSeq lists it as uncharacterized. The record is from RefSeq and is a predicted model, not a curated record. NCBI's taxonomy places the organism in Eukaryota, Metazoa, Nematomorpha, Gordioida, Chordodea, Parachordodidae. The transcript is spliced from 5 exons.